This 483-nucleotide long non-coding RNA is filed under the name Coccomyxa subellipsoidea. RNAcentral describes it as "long non-coding RNA (CSUB_LNC000712)". Lineage: Eukaryota; Viridiplantae; Chlorophyta; Trebouxiophyceae; Coccomyxaceae. The record is from RNAcentral.
CAGCUCAUCGGCCACCUCGGGGGCCAUGUCUGCCAGGCACGCCUGCUGAAGAGCAGUGCGCAGGGCUGCAUUCUCCUGCUUGAGCUGUUCAAGCUCCACAUUUGUGUCGGUUGUACCUUUUGAAGGCGCCGCCGGCUCUGGCAUUCUCUGCCUGCAAUUUGAGAAACGGGUAUUCUUCUCACACAAUGCACAACUCAACCAGAUGCCCCAGGCAUUGUCACAGCAGCGCGUUGAAUGGGUGCAUAUGAAUCCAAUUUUGCGAAAGCAAAGCAUGUCGAAUUUCUCACUGCGAAGGAUCCUCUGAGGUGUUGAAUUCAUGGCACAACAGGCUGUCGUUCUGGAGUACUGGAAAGAGGUAUUUGUCAUCGUCCCAAGGCUUCUCAGGAGUGCUCAAUGCCGCUGCAAGGUCGCUGCGUGGAUCGUGUUUCUGCUCAACAGCUGCUCUUAUGAAGUUGACACAUUUGAUGACGCCGUAAUCAUCCA